This 73-nucleotide transfer RNA is filed under the name Daphnia pulex (common water flea). It matches the Rfam family "tRNA". Rfam says of the family: Transfer RNA (tRNA) molecules are approximately 80 nucleotides in length. Their secondary structure includes four short double-helical elements and three loops (D, anti-codon, and T loops). Lineage: Eukaryota; Metazoa; Arthropoda; Branchiopoda; Diplostraca; Daphniidae. The record is from Rfam by way of RNAcentral.
GGGGCUGUAACUCAGAGGUAGAGUGCUCGCUUCGCAUGUGAGAAGACGCGGUGUUCAAUCCUCCGCAACUCCA